Molecule: ribosomal RNA, 492 nt
Filed under: uncultured bacterium
Lineage: Bacteria
Description: partial 16S ribosomal RNA
Rfam family: Bacterial small subunit ribosomal RNA
Source: RNAcentral
AUUGAACGCUGGCGGCAUGCUUUACACAUGCAAGUCGAGCGGUAACAGGCCUUCGGGUGCUGACGAGUGGCGAACGGGUGAGUAAUGCAUCGGAACGUACCCAGAGGUGGGGGAUAACGCAGCGAAAGCUGUGCUAAUACCGCAUGUGAUCUGAGGAUGAAAGCGGGGGACCGCGCAGCAAUGUUUGGCCUCGCGCCUUUGGAGCGGCCGAUGUCGGAUUAGCUAGUUGGUGGGGUAAAGGCCUACCAAGGCGACGAUCCGUAGCUGGUCUGAGAGGACGACCAGCCACACUGGGACUGAGACACGGCCCAGACUCCUACGGGAGGCAGCAGUGGGGAAUUUUGGACAAUGGGCGCAAGCCUGAUCCAGCAAUGCCGCGUGCGGGAAGAAGGCCUUCGGGUUGUAAACCGCUUUUGGCAGGAACGAAACGGUGUCCGCUAAUACCGGGCGCUAAUGACGGUACCUGCAGAAUAAGCACCGGCUAACUACGUG